RNAcentral lists this long non-coding RNA (906 nucleotides) under Nicotiana tabacum (common tobacco). Its description in RNAcentral is "long non-coding RNA (NTAB_LNC014878)". The record is from RNAcentral. Lineage: Eukaryota; Viridiplantae; Streptophyta; Magnoliopsida; Solanales; Solanaceae.
ACCAAUUAAUUCAAAAUUUAAAAUUCAAAAACAAAAUAGUUAGAAAGGUAGUUUAUUUUGUCUUAACAAUGCCACGUGGCUUUUUAUGGUUAUGACAUUAGUCUUAAUAUAGUGCUUUUGUUUCUCCUAUUCUAUAUAGAUAGAAGAUAUCAUAUUCUAUAUAGAUAGAUUAUGGCACUUUUGCUUCUCCUAUUCUAUAUAGGUAGAUAGAUUUGAAUUGGGUUUUUUUUAAUUUUGAUUUUAAUUUAAAAUAGUUUUAAAACUCCAACUUUGUUGGCUACACUUGUCGUCUUAUGGUUAUGCCACUUGGAUCAUAUAAUUAUUUACUUCUCUUUAUAUAUAUUACUCCCACAUUUGAAUUGGUAGUUUUUAUUUUUUGUUUUUUAUUUUAAAACUCCAACUUGAAAUUACUCCCCAAUUUGAAUGAGUAGUUUAUUUUUUAUAUUUUCGUUUUUUAUAGACAAUUAAGAUAUCUACAUUUGUUAAUUCAAGUAGAGUAACCAAUUAAUUCAAAAUUUAAAAUUCAAAAAAAAAAGUUAGAAAGGUAGUUUAUUUUGUCUUAACAAUGCCACUUGGCUUUUUAUGGUUAUGACAUUUGUCUUAAUAUAAUACUUUUGCUUCUCCUAUUCUAUAUAGAUAGAUUUUGAAAAGAGCAUUUACCUAACUAACACAUGACAAAAGCACACAGUAGAGAGCAGACAUGAACCAGAUAUUCUAUACCGAGAAAAGAAGAAGAAUAUGAGUUACAAAAGCUGUGUGUAAUUCUGACAGAAAGCUCUCUACUGUUAGUCUGUUACAACAAGUACAUCAAUGAUAUUUCUUAGUUAAUUAUCUCAUCAGGUGAUCAAGGGGUUCCUUUUUCAAUAUGAGAUUUAGGAUGUUGAAUAUAAUCUCAUUGCUGCUCUC